AGAAGUUUAGGUUAACUAGACCAAGAGCCUUCAAAGCUCUAAGUAAAUAAACACGUAUUUAACUUCUG
RNAcentral lists this transfer RNA (68 nucleotides) under Saccopteryx leptura (lesser sac-winged bat). RNAcentral describes it as "tRNA-Trp". The record is from RNAcentral. Lineage: Eukaryota; Metazoa; Chordata; Mammalia; Chiroptera; Emballonuridae.